This 491-nucleotide ribosomal RNA is filed under the name uncultured bacterium. RNAcentral describes it as "partial 16S ribosomal RNA". It matches the Rfam family "Bacterial small subunit ribosomal RNA", at positions 29 to 507 of the family's 1533-position model. The record is from RNAcentral.
AGUGAACGCUGGCGGUAGGCCUAACACAUGCAAGUCGAACGGCAGCACAGUAAGAGCUUGCUCUUACGGGUGGCGAGUGGCGGACGGGUGAGGAAUACAUCGGAAUCUACUUUUUCGUGGGGGAUAACGUAGGGAAACUUACGCUAAUACCGCAUACGACCUACGGGUGAAAGCAGGGGAUCUUCGGACCUUGCGCGAUUGAAUGGGCCGAUGUCGGAUUAGCUAGUUGGCGGGGUAAAGGCCCACCAAGGCGACGAUCCGUAGCUGGUCUGAGAGGAUGAUCAGCCACACUGGAACUGAGACACGGUCAGACUCCUACGGGAGACAGCAGUGGGGAAUAUUGGACAAUGGGCGCAAGCCUGAUCCAGCCAUACCGCGUGGGUGAAGAAGGCCUUCGGGUUGUAAAGCCCUUUUGUUGGGAAAGAAAAGCAGCAGGUUAAUACCCCGCUGUUCUGACGGUACCCAAAGAAUAAGCACCGGCUAACUUCGUG